GGCAAUCGGGUAUCAAAGUCCAUCGAUAGGAAACCUUGAUCGAAGAGUCCCAAACCAGUGGGACUCUUGACCCCGGUACCCAAAAUGUAUGGGACUCGUGAUCAGAGAAUCUUGAUUCUCGAUCAUAGAGUCUCAGACACGUAGGACUCAUAGUCCACAAACAUUAAGACUCUUCAUCAGCCAUCAGAUCAGAUAGGAACCUCUAAUGUGUGUGACCCCGUAGGUUCGAACCUAAGCCAGUAGCAUAGGAACCAAUUCCUAUACUAAUCGAAGUGACCAUCUAACAAUAGUACCCGAUGUUCAGAUAGGUCGAAUAGUCACAAUCGCAACACUCAGAACCUACGUAAAUAUGGUUACUGUAUAAUUCAUCCCUUUUGACCACUGUGUUUAGGAUGACUCAGGGUUAAACUGUCAACCCUGAUUAGAUCAUCCGAGUCGUGCUCAACUGAAACAGUCCUGUGACUCCUCACUAGGACUAUCCUGACCAAUAUUUUACUAAAUUAAAAUACGACUGUACACAGCUCCUGAACUGGAGUGGUCAAUCCCAUCUUGACACACGCNNNNNNNNNNNNNNNNNNNNCCCAAAAUGUGUGGGACUCAUGAUCAGAGAAUCCUGAUUUUUGAUCACAGAGUCUCAGACAUGUAGGACUCAUAGUCCACGAAUAUUAGGACUCUUCAUCAGCCAUCAGAUCAGAUAGGAACCUCUAAUGUGUGUGACCCCGCAGGUUCGAACCUAAGCCGAUAGCACAGGAACCAAUUCUUAUACUAAUCGAAGUGACCAUCUAGCAAUGGUAUCCGACAUUCGGAUAGAUCGAAUAGUCACAAUCGCAA
This 831-nucleotide long non-coding RNA is filed under the name Elaeis guineensis (African oil palm). Its description in RNAcentral is "long non-coding RNA (EGUI_LNC032947)". The record is from RNAcentral. Lineage: Eukaryota; Viridiplantae; Streptophyta; Magnoliopsida; Arecales; Arecaceae.